UUCGCCGCGCAGCCUGCUGGGA
RNAcentral lists this microRNA (22 nucleotides) under Sus scrofa (pig). RNAcentral's name for it is "ssc-mir234". Lineage: Eukaryota; Metazoa; Chordata; Mammalia; Artiodactyla; Suidae. The record is from RNAcentral.